RNAcentral lists this ribosomal RNA (491 nucleotides) under uncultured bacterium. RNAcentral's name for it is "partial 16S ribosomal RNA". It matches the Rfam family "Bacterial small subunit ribosomal RNA", at positions 29 to 506 of the family's 1533-position model. The record is from RNAcentral.
AGUGAACGCUGGCGGUAGGCCUAACACAUGCAAGUCGAACGGCAGCACAGUAAGAGCUUGCUCUUACGGGUGGCGAGUGGCGGACGGGUGAGGAAUACAUCGGAAUCUACUUUUUCGUGGGGGAUAACGUAGGGAAACUUACGCUAAUACCGCAUACGACCUACGGGUGAAAGCAGGGGAUCUUCGGACCUUGCGCGAUUGAAUGAGCCGAUAUCGGAUUAGCUAGUUGGCGGGGUAAAGGCCCACCAAGGCGACGAUCCGUAGCUGGUCUGAGAGGAUGAUCAGCCACACUGGAACUGAGACACGGUCCAGACUCCUACGGGAGGCAGCAGUGGGGAAUAUUGGACAAUGGGCGCAAGCCUGAUCCAGCCAUACCGCGUGGGUGGAGAAGGCCUUCGGGUUGUAAAGCCCUUUUGUUGGGAAAGAAAAGCAGCAGGUUAAUACCCCGCUGUUCUGACGGUACCCAAAGAAUAAGCACCGGCUAACUUCGU